Molecule: long non-coding RNA, 259 nt
Filed under: Nicotiana benthamiana
Lineage: Eukaryota; Viridiplantae; Streptophyta; Magnoliopsida; Solanales; Solanaceae
Description: long non-coding RNA (NBEN_LNC027856)
Source: RNAcentral
AUUUCGAGAAGUACCUCUGUGAACUCUUUGACGUACUCCCGGAUGGUUCCUUUGUGCUGCAAACGCCUUAGCUUGCCACGAGCUUCCUCCUCGACGUUGCUUGGGUAGAACUGCUUCUUGAGUUCUGCCUUGAAAUCUGCCCAAGUGUUGAUAGAGCAGGUGCCUUUCUCUAUGUCGCUUUGUCUUCUCCUCUACCAAACCAUUGCGGUGUCCUCGAGGAAAAGACUACCCAUGCUUACCUUUAGAGCCUCGUCUUNNN